This 492-nucleotide ribosomal RNA is filed under the name uncultured bacterium. RNAcentral's name for it is "partial 16S ribosomal RNA". It matches the Rfam family "Bacterial small subunit ribosomal RNA", at positions 28 to 507 of the family's 1533-position model. The record is from RNAcentral.
GAUGAACGCUAGCUACAGGCUUAACACAUGCAAGUCGAGGGGAAACGGCAUCGAAAGCUUGCUUUUGAUGGGCGUCGACCGGCGCACGGGUGAGUAACGCGUAUCCAACCUGCCCAUCACUUGGGAAUAACCUUGCGAAAGUAAGACUAAUGCCCAAUGACAUCCCACGAAGGCAUCCGAAUGGGAUUAAAGAUUUAUCGGUGAUGGAUGGGGAUGCGUCUGAUUAGCUUGUUGGCGGGGUGACGGCCCACCAAGGCAACGAACAGUAGGGGUUCUGAGAGGAAGGUCCCCCACAUUGGAACUGAGACACGGUCCAAACUCCUACGGGAGGCAGCAGUGAGGAAGAUUGGUCAAUGGGCGAGAGCCUGAACCAGCCAAGUAGCGUGCAGGAUGACGGCCCUAUGGGUGGUAAACUGCUUUUAUAAGGGAAUAAAGUGGGUCACGUGUGACUUUUUGCAUGUACCUUAUGAAUAAGGACCGGCUAAUUCCGUG